CAGGUCCGUUAUCUAAAGAUUAUAGAAAAGAGCGGUUACCAAGCCCUUCCUUGGGUUCGUUACAUUACACAAAAUGGAGAUUACCAGUUGAGAACGACAUAAACGAGAAAGACGUCUUUCUCUAAAUACCUCUUUUAAUGUAGUUAAAUUUACACGUAGAAAGCUGUCGAUUAAGAAUUUAAAAAAAAAAGAAAAAAAAAAGCCAUGCCAUUGAUCGGUGAAGAUUCUACUUGCUCUCUCGCAUCAUCUUGUAGCAGAAAUGCUUGAUACUCGAGCUUUUUGUUAGUAAUUUUGGUGCAGUGCUGUCAAAUUGUUUCGACGGACUAGGAAGUGAGAGUUUUUUUGUUCUAUCGGAGAAUCAGAAUAAGAAACAGUCAAAGUGCUGUUAUGAAUUAAAAUUGUCAAGAAAUCGUACUUCUUCCCCGUCUUUAUAAUUAAAGCUAAUUCUGUCGUGUUGGCACGCCUUGAAGUUUCCUCUGUCGUCGCUCGUAAUCCGUCCCAAUCUUAACCAUCGUUGUCCUUUUUUGUUUGUUUAUUCGAGGUUACCUUUUUUUACAAGAAAAAUUUGACUUCUUACAUGUACCUCUUAACAAAAAGGUUUAUGGAGUUAAUUCGACGAAUUUUAUGCUCCCAAAAUUAGCCUAAUACUCUCAAGAUGAUGAUUUCCGUUUAUAAAAUACAAGUAGAAAUAGGUUGAAACUGGUCACUUACAAAAACAGGCAGUUAUAUGAUGUAAACCAAUAGUUCUAUACGUGUAGUAGUGGAACCCAAUAAAGCUGUGUUUUUCUUA
Long non-coding RNA from Orbicella faveolata, 790 nucleotides. The record is from RefSeq and is a predicted model, not a curated record. NCBI's taxonomy places the organism in Eukaryota, Metazoa, Cnidaria, Anthozoa, Scleractinia, Merulinidae.